This 230-nucleotide ribosomal RNA is filed under the name uncultured bacterium. RNAcentral's name for it is "partial 16S ribosomal RNA". It matches the Rfam family "Bacterial small subunit ribosomal RNA", at positions 562 to 791 of the family's 1533-position model. The record is from RNAcentral.
AAAGCGUGCGCAGGCGGUUUUGUAAGUCUGUCGUGAAAUCCCCGGGCUCAACCUGGGAAUGGCGAUGGAGACUGCAAGGCUAGAGUUUGGCAGAGGGGGGUAGAAUUCCACGUGUAGCAGUGAAAUGCGUAGAUAUGUGGAGGAACACCGAUGGCGAAGGCAGCCCCCUGGGUCAAAACUGACGCUCAUGCACGAAAGCGUGGGGAGCAAACAGGAUUAGAUACCCCAGU